RNAcentral lists this non-coding RNA (21 nucleotides) under Arabidopsis thaliana (thale cress). The record is from RNAcentral. Lineage: Eukaryota; Viridiplantae; Streptophyta; Magnoliopsida; Brassicales; Brassicaceae.
UCGAACCUUCACAAAGCUCAC